GGAGUUUGGGCCGUGUCUCAGUCCCAAUGUGGCCGAUUGCCCUCUCAGGCCGGCUAUUGAUCGUUGACUUGGUGAGCCGUUACCUCACCAACUAUCUAAUCAAACGCGGGUCCAUCGUAUGCCGAUAAAUCUUUUCACACUGUAUCAUGCAAUACCGUGCGCUUAUGCGGUAUUAGCAGUCGUUUCCAACUGUUGUCCCCCUGCAUACGGCAGGUUACCCACGCGUUACUCACCCGUCCGCCACUAAGUUUACUCAAGAUUCUGCCGAAGCUUCAUCAGCGAGUAAACUCCGUUCGACUUGCAUGUGUUAGGCACGCCGCCAGCGUUCAUC
Molecule: ribosomal RNA, 331 nt
Filed under: uncultured Lachnospiraceae bacterium
Lineage: Bacteria; Bacillati; Bacillota; Clostridia; Lachnospirales; Lachnospiraceae
Description: partial 16S ribosomal RNA
Source: RNAcentral